UCUUAGGAGCCAAGGACCGAGCUGAGGUCCAAGAGAACCGGUCCAUUCUCCUUCUCCGGAACCCACUCUAGGUCUUAGCUGGGGAGCCCAAGAGCCAGCCGCAGCCCUGUCCUCUCCGUGGGAACAGGAUUCCUGGAAACCAGCCCAGUGGGGCAGACCGGGGCAGAACUGGUGUGACCUCCAGCCCGGAUUUCAGAGAUAACGGAGAGCCCAGCUGCACUGGCACUGGGGAGGAGGACAGCACUGGAGACGGAAGAAGAAAGAAGAGCAGGCCAUGUGCUAUUGCAGACAGAGCUUGGAGCCACGAGGCCACAAGGAUUCUCCCCGGAGCCUCCAGAGGGAGCCCAGCUCUGCCGACACCUGAACUUGGGACUUCCUGCUGUAGAACUGUGAGAAAACUUGGAGCUUUCUGGGGACAGCCUCUGUGCCAGGACCCCAGGGUCUAGCAGGGAUCAAGACAGAGCCUGCACCUCAAAGCAACAAUGGAAACAAAAACAGGGGGCGGCAGGUGCCCCCCGGGAAGUCUUCUUAGGACCGCACCUCCUUUCUGGGCUUGACGUAAGUGAAUCAAGAUGCCCUUAAUGGCAAAACGCAAAGAUGUUGUCACCAAACCAGAGAGCCUGGAAAGAGAAUGUGGGUCCCCUGUGCUUCUGCUCAGGAGAGCUGGUGCAGCCAACCCCGGGGGACGAGGCUGUUGUGUGUCCCAGGAGCAGUUCCACCAGGGAGUCCUCAGCCCCGGGGACAUAUCGGGUGCAAAGGAACCUGCGUUUCCCAUCAAGCCAGCAACCCCAUGGUCACUUUGGCCUGAAGGACAGUCCCCAUUGUUCUCUUGGGUCCACAGGUUUCACAUUUCGAGACCUCCCUGUGAGUCCAGGGAGGGGUCAGGCACCCCGGGCUUGUCACCCCAGGAUCUGGGUCAGGGAAUGGGGCUCAGGUGGGGCAGGGUCACAUGUGGCUGGAGGUCUCCUCCGCCUCCUCGCAGCGCUGUCUUCAGAGGUCAGUGCCCUUGUCGGGACUCCCCACUGACUCGGGACCUUACUCGGGUCACCGUGGGCCCCAGGUGGCUUCUGCUCAUCCUUCCUGGCCACCCCUUUCCUUCCUCCCCCGGCUGGGCUCCCGGGGACCCAGGGUGUCUACUUGCUGGGUGCACAGCCGGGUAUCCAGGGGCCUGCACCCACUCUCCUCCCUGACUCCUCCAGCUCAGGAAUCACCCCGUCCAGGGAGCUGCUCCGACCCUCCGCCGAUGGAGUGACUUUCCUGAACUUGCACAGCCAGACCCCUGAGGCCACCCCCAGGGCAGGCGGAGGUGGAGGUGGACCACCCUUCACACAGAUGGAGGGCUGCCGGGUUGGGACACUGGGAGCAAGUGCAUGCAUACACAGCAGAGGCAGGGGCUCGCUGAAGGUUCUAGAAAGAAGAGGCAGAGACAUGGGCAAAGCUCGGAGGAUGGGCUGGUGGGGGUGAGAUUCCAGGGCUAGCCGUGGAGGGCAGCUGUUUCUACUGACAGAGGGCUGCACCCGUGGCCCUGCCCAGCUGGCCCAGCAGUAAGGGAGCAGGAGCAAACCAACCAGAAGCCACAGGUGGGGGGAGAAGGCUGGUGACACCAUCUAUGCAAAUCAGCACAGGGCACCAGGAAGGGGAACAAAUGAAGGAGUGACCUGGGGACCAGAGGAGAAAACCUAGCACAGAGGAGUAGAGUAGCACAGGUCACGGUAUCGGAGUCACUGCCUGGAGUGGCUUUAAGUUUUCUUAUUUUUUAAAAUGGUGGCAUCUUGCUAAGUUGCUCAAGCUGGCCUCCAACUCACCAUCCUCCUAUCUAAGCCUCCCAAGUAGCUGGGCUUACUGGUACAGGCCCCUCAUCUGGUGGUUUGCAUUUUCAAACUCAGGGGCAGGGGGUUUAGACACUUGCUUAGCAGGUAUGAGGCCCUGGGUUCCAUCCCAGCACCUAAAAAAACAAAGCAAAACAAUAAAAACAAAAUCCUGAGAUGCCCCGGCCCUCCCCCACCUCAGAUAGUCUGAUUUAGGUUUGUGGGAGAUGUGAGCUCUGGUCCCUUCCCAGUUUUGCUGUGUGACCUUGGGUCAGUCAAUUCCAUAUUCCAGGCCUGAGUUACAGGGGUAGGGAAUCAUCCAUCCCGAGUGGUCUGGGCUGGCCUCCAGGCUCUGCCACCCGCAUGGCUAGCUCACCUAAGCCCCAAAGGCAGCAGAGGAAGCUUGGUGACCAGCGGUGACCAUCCAUUGCCCAACCCCUGACAUCCCUCAGCUCUUUGCAGUUGGCAAGCGUGAUGAGAUCAAGUCCCCUGCCCGAGCCACUGACUGCCCUCCAGGUGAGCCUAUGAAUUGAUGUUCUCCUGACACUAAGGGAGGGCCUCUCUGGAGCCAGGUUUGGGGGAUGGGAUCAUGGUCCUUCGGGCUCAUUAUUCCCGAGUUGUCACUGUUGAUAAGCCACCACUGUGCCCCUAGAGGUUAGGGAACUUGCCCACAUUCACAUGGGCAGCCUCUUCCUUCUGGCAUCUCUGCCAACACUGGACACCUCCACCCCCAGGCCAACUAGCUCCCCACCCCGCAGCGGCUCUGUUGUCCUCGG
Ictidomys tridecemlineatus (thirteen-lined ground squirrel) is the source of this 2584-nucleotide non-coding RNA. NCBI's taxonomy places the organism in Eukaryota, Metazoa, Chordata, Mammalia, Rodentia, Sciuridae. The record is from RefSeq and is a predicted model, not a curated record.